RNAcentral lists this ribosomal RNA (465 nucleotides) under uncultured bacterium. RNAcentral's name for it is "partial 16S ribosomal RNA". It matches the Rfam family "Bacterial small subunit ribosomal RNA", at positions 339 to 795 of the family's 1533-position model. The record is from RNAcentral.
CUACGGGAGGCAGCAGUAGGGAAUAUUGCGCAAUGGGCGAAAGCCUGACGCAGCAAUGCCGCGUGUGUGAGGAAGGCCCUCGGGUUGUAAAGCACUGUCGCAGGGGAAAAACCGUAUGAGGUCCAAUAGGCCUCAUGCCUGAUGGUACCCUGAAAGGAAGCACCGGCUAACUCCGUGCCAGCAGCCGCGGUAAUACGGAGGGUGCAAGCGUUGUUCGGAUUUAUUGGGCGUAAAGCGCGCGCAGGCGGAUGAUCAAGUCAGGUGUGAAAUCUCGGGGCUCAACUCCGAAACUGCGCCUGAAACUGGUUAUCUAGAAUAUCUAAGAGGGCAGGGGAAUUUCGCAUGUAGGGGUAAAAUCCGUAGAGAUGCGAAGGAACACCAGAGGCGAAGGCGCCUGCCUGGGAGAUUAUUGACGCUGAGGCGCGAAAGCGUGGGGAGCAAACAGGAUUAGAUACCCCUGUAGUC